This is a long non-coding RNA of Zeugodacus cucurbitae (melon fly), 15138 nucleotides long. RefSeq lists it as uncharacterized. Lineage: Eukaryota; Metazoa; Arthropoda; Insecta; Diptera; Tephritidae. The transcript is spliced from 3 exons. The record is from RefSeq and is a predicted model, not a curated record.
AGAUAAGUGGAGACCGCCAUCGCAUUUCAAGCAAGUUUACUCUGUGUGAUGAAAUUAGGCACUCAUGCAGUUCUCUGUUAUACAUUAACUUAUAGCAGGGACAGACGAGCAAAGUUAAUAGGCAUUAAGAAAUGCUAAUGCGCAUAAAAAAUUUAUGGUAACAGACGGCAGACUUGUGCAUUUAGACAGCUGAUUGAGAAAACUACUAUACAUUAAAAAUUUGCAAAUAUAAAAAAACAAAUCUAUCAGCACAUUUUCGUCGCUGGUUAUCGUUGAUGUUGUUGAAACUGUUCUCUGUUUGCUUUCUGCCAUCUAAAAACAUUAAAAUUAGUUACUGUUAAUAUAAUUGCACAUAAUUUAACUUGCAAAAUAGAAACAUAAAUCAUUUGAUAUCUUCUUCUUCUUCUUUGUAUUAAUCAGCAUUCAAAAUAGCAAAAAUUGGCCAUUUUUGGGCAACAUUGCCAACUCAAACUUGGUAAAUUCAGCUAAAUGCACGAAAUUUUUGUGCAUUACUAUUAAAGCAAAUCAAGCCCGCUAAUGUACAUAGACUAUAGCUGUCGUCUGUCUAGGCUAGUGGUCGGCACACUUAUACAAUCAAACAAUUUAUUUUGUGAGAGUGUAUGCGUGUUGAGAGCUACUCAACUGACCAAGAGUUAUGUUCUACUGGUCCCGAACUUUCUUAGAACUGGUGAAAUUAGGACCAAUACUGGUUUCCUAACAGUCGUUUUUAUAGUGUACGUCAGUUUUACACAUACAAUCAAUUGUUAAUACUGCUUAGAAAUGUGUAUGAAAACAUUAUAAAGCAGUAAACUUUAUGUAAAUUAAAUUUUUUGCAAAAUAAAAAUCGAUAGUACUACUUCGAAUUAAACACACAAUUAUUAAUUAUAUUACAAACAUUUUAAAUGGCGAAUGAAGUUGGAAAAUUAAUCGUUGUGUUUUUAUGAACUGACUUGCAAAAUUAAUAAAAAAAAUUAAUAAUCUAAAUAGAAAUAUAAUAAUAUAUAUAAAAGCAUUGUCUUUUGUGUUCAUACAUGCGUGCGUACAAUCCACCAUACGUCUUGCUCGCUGUGAAGUCAACAAGCAACUGACCUGACAUCGCGUCUAUGGUGUAAAAUUAAUUGCAAGUACGUGUGUUUCACACGUACACUCAGUGUGCGCUCAGAGAGCGCUCCGCGGGCAAUGGGCUGCCGAUCACUGGUCUAGGCUAUUAGCGUUGAGAAGUGCAUUUGUAGCUGAGUGAUAUCAGAUCAGGGUCUCAACACUCAUUGGCUUAAUCAAUGCCAAACGGGUUAGCAAAUGUUUGGGUGGAUGGAGUCAUAUGUAGAAGUUCACGUAAGUGAGGAAAGUUUCUGACUGUCAUUCACUUGGGAGUGGCCAGGAACGAUUCUUUUACAUGUGGCUCAAGCAGCUCACGACUUCCGGUCUUAGACCAAAUAUCCUCUGGGUAGCCAACAGACAUCCGUUUGGAGGCGAGCUAAAGUGAGAAGGCGAAACCCGCAUAUGCGGUUGUGCGUAGGGUUUGGGACCCACCACAUAAAAACAGCCCCCAAUGAAAACGACGAAACAGCCUCGGAUGAGAGACCCCGAUUUUGAUGACGACCACUGCAAACGUUUAAAGGACUACGAUUUAAGGGCAUGCACCUGGAAUGUCCGGACCCUUAAUUGAGAAGGUGCCUCUGCCCAGCUGGUUGAUGUCCUCGUAAGAGUAAAGGCUGACAUCACCGCAAUCCAAGAAAUGCGAUGGACGGGACAAGGACGGAAGAAGGUGGGUCCUUGUAACAUCUACUACAGCGGCCAUAUAAAAGAGCGCAAAUUCGGUGUGGGAUUCGUGGUGGGGAACGUCUAGCCACAAUCCGCAUCAAAGCGAGGUUCUUCAACAUAUCGCUGAUUUGCGCCCACGCCCCGACGGAAGAGAAGGACGAAGUGAUCAAAGAUACCUUCUAUGAGCGCCUAGAACGUACCUAUGAGCGCUGCCCCCGCCACGAUGUCAAAAUCGUGCUUGGCGAUUUCAACGCCAGGGUGGUUAAAGAAGGUGUCUUUGGCACAACAGUCGGAAAAUUCAGCCUCCAUGACGAAACAUCACCAAACGGUCUGAGGCUGAUCGACUUCGGCGGGGCCCGAAAUAUGGUCGUCUGUAGUACUAGAUUCCAGCAUAAGAAAAUCCAUCAAGCUACUUGGCUGUCCCCGGAUCGAAUCAUCCGCAACCAGAUCGAUCAUGUUGUGAUAGAUGGGCGACAUGUCUCCAGUGUUUCUGAUGUGCGUACGCUUCGUGGUCCCAACAUCGACUCGGACCAUUAUCUUGUAGCAGCUAAAAUACGCACCCGCCUCCGUGUAGAAAAGCGCACACGUCAACAAACACAAGGAAGGUUCGACAUCGUGAAGCUGCAAUCACAACCGACAGCCGAACGAUUUUCUACUCGACUUGCACUCCUACUCUCUGAGAGCACUCAUCUCGGUAUAAGGGAGCUGUGGGACGGCAUAUCAAACUCCUUACGUACAGCUGCAACCGAAACCAUUGGUUUUCGGAAAAGUCAAAAAAACAGCUGGUAUGAUGAGGACUGUCGUCUCGCAGUGGAGAGAAAACAGACUGCCUACCUCGCAAUGUUGCGAUUGACCGCAUCGACACACACCUUCUAUUUCCCGACUUUAAAGUUGCUUUCGACAGCAAGAAUACGCGCAGCCUUUAUGCCGCGAUGUCUGAAUUUGGAAUUCCCGCAAAACUAAUACGGCUGUGUAAGCUGACGUUGAGCAACACCAAAAGCUCCGUCAGGAUCGGGAAGGACCUCUCCGGGCCGUUCGAUACCAAACGAGGUUUCAGACAAGGUGACUCGUUAUCGUGUGACUUCUUUCACCUGAUGCUGGAAAAAAUAGUUCGAGCCGCAGAGCUAAACAGAGCAGGUACAAUAUUUUAUAAGACUGUACAGCUACUGGCGUACGCCGAUGAUAUCGAUAUCAUUGGAAACAACAUCCGCGCCGUUAGUUCUGCUUUUUCCCGCCUGGAUAGGGAAGCGAAGCGAAUGGGUCUGGUGGUGAACGAGGACAAGACGAAAUAUCUCCUGUCAUCAAACAAACAGUCAGCGCAUUCGCGUCAUGGCUCCCACGUCACUGUUGACAGUCAUAACUUUGAAGUUGUGGAUAAUUUCGUCUACCUGGAACCAGCAUUAACAGCAAUAACGAUGUCAGCCUGGAAAUCCAACGCAGAAUCACUCUUGCCAACAGGUGCUACUAUGGACUAAGUAGGCAAUUGAAAAGUAAAGUCCUCUCUCGACGAACAAAAACCAAACUCUACAAGUCCCUCAUCAUUCCCGUCCUACUUUACGGUGCAGAAGCGUGGACGAUGUCAACAUCCGAUGAGACGGCAGUAGGAGUUUUCGAGAGAAAGGUUUUGCGGAAGAUUUAUGGUCCCUUAAAUAUUGGCAGCGGCGAAUACCGCAGACGAUGGAACGAUGAGCUGUAUGUGUUAUUCGACGACAUAGACAUAGUCCAGCGAAUAAAAAAACAGCGGCUACGCUGGCUAGGUCAUGUUGUUCGAAUGGAUGAAAGUGCUCCAGCUCUGAAAGUAUUCGAUGCAGUACCCGCUGGUGGAAGCCGAGGAAGAGGGAGACCUCCACUCCGAUGGAAGGACCAGGUGGAGAGGGACCUGGCUUCGCUUGGUAUAACCAAUUGGCGCCAAAAUGCCAGAAGGAGGGAAACGUGGCGGGCUGUUUUUGACUCGGCUAUAACCGCGUAAGCGGUGUCUACGCCAGUCAAGAAGAAGAAGAAAUGUUUGCCAAUAUAUGACAAAGUUUAGAUUUCGUAGUCCCCAAGGUACUUUUCCGAAGCUAAACUAACAACCAACUAAAUCAAAAUUGCAUUCCAAAUAUUUUUAAAAAUUAAAAAGGACAUACAAAUGAUCAUGUUAUAUUAUAUAGUAUUCUACGAGAGAGAAAAAUACUAGGGGGAUCUGGGAUGGAAAAGCGAAUAUAUAGCCUCUGCCAUCCGAUUAUUUAUAAACCUCAUUUUUGAGCGACAUUCCCUGUUUGUUAGCGAGGUUGACGAGGCUGUGGCGACCGAGUAAAGUCUUCAUUUUUUCAAUUGAAUAUAAUGUAAUUGGACAGAAAUCAGCUGUUUCAGUUUUCAUUAUUUGCAACAAAAAGCUAUGCGUACUGAAGUUUUGUAUUUUAUCAAAAUUGCCACAGAAUACCAAAAAAUUUAUUUGUUGAUGAAAAUUUUAAAAAAUUUAAUAAAUUUAGUCUAAAGUUCUACAAAAUCGUAUAUACAUAUGUACAUUAGAGUGAGUCUAUUUUUUCUUGACAAAGCAGUUAUCGAAAUCGUAAACUACGAUGAAUUCUAAGAAAAUUUGCCCAAGAAACCAUGGGUCUAAACUAAAAAUCGAGCUUCCGGUUUUUAACGAGAAUCUUUCGUAAAUUGUAUUUUGUAAAAAAAAAAUCCAAUUCCUAUUCCACUGUCGAUUGUUUGCUUGUUUUGUAGAAAUCGAAGCUAAUUUGCUCAAAUUUGGUAUGAUGUUGUAUUUAAGCAGAAAAUUCGACAGUACAGAAAUUUAUAGGGGGCGUGGCACUGCCCACUUAUGAGUUCGUAUGUAUAUCUCUGGAACCACCUCACCGAUUUUUUUCAAAUUCUGUAUACGUAUUACAUUAUGCCUAUGUAAGCGAUAUUUGGAAAAUUAUCAAAAGCGGACAAAAACCACGCCCACCUGCCAUAUAACGGUAAUUUUUGAAAACACCAAAGAUCAGAAAUUUUAAUAACUGUUGAAGGGAAACAUCUUGAGUUUGGUAUUCGGUGUUGUAUUGCAGCCAGAAAUCCUACUAUAUGAAAAUUUUGGCAUGUCACCGCCCAUUUUUGAGUGCAUAUGUAAAUCUCUGGAACUACCUUAUCGAUUUCGUGUAAAUUUGAUACACAUUUUAGAUUGUACCUAGUUAGGUGAGAUUAUGAAAAUGAUUAAAAUUGGGUAAAAACUACGGCCAUCUCCCAUAUAACGGUAUUUUUCUGUACGGUCACUGCUUUAUGUUUUCGACUCUUGUAGUUGUUACUGUUUUCCUUUUCAUUUAUUAAAAAAAAUUAAAUCAUCCAAUUUCUGUUAUACUGUCGAUUGUUUGUUUGAUUUGCACUUGUUUUUUUUAUUUUACUUGUUUGCUAUGAUUUUAUCACCUUCUCAGAGAAAGCAAAGCAACGCUGAUGAAUUACUAAUAAAACAAUUGUUUCCGAAACCAUCGUUUUAAAUUAUUUUGAUACAAUAUAACAGUUAGAAGUUUUUACUCAAGGAAGAAGUGUGCAGAGGCACACACGAUUCUAACAUUUUAAAGCAAAACUUCUUUUAAUUAUGGAGUCAUCUCCAUAAAAAAAAAUUUACGACCCAACAAAAUUAAGAGCUUACAAAAAACCAACUAUAAAUUUUGACUGCACUGAUUAUGUUGAGAUGAUAAACUUAGAUAACAAUUGCAUUUUGUCGGAGCCACCCUUCACUGCAAACAUACCCUAUGACCAUUUGCUCGAAUACAUAGAAUUUGACAAUCCUCCACUUCCGGAUCCACAAAUUCCUCCACAUGUUCAAGGAACCGAGCGCUUUGUGCAACUGCUGACUAGCGUUUCACGUCGAACUAUAGAAAAAAAUCGUGAUGGUGUUAUGGCAGUCACGGUUGCAAGUCGAAACGCAAGAUCUAGGAUGGACAGCAAACAAGACCUUAAAACUAAUUAAUUGUGAACUUUAGAAGUAUAUUAUAUUUUGUUUGGCCCUUAACAGUUAAUUUUUUGCUUUAUAUAUAGAUAUAAAAUGAAAUUGUUAACUGCAAUACGAUUUCGCGGAAGAUUAAAGUUAUUAAAGUUUGAAAUUUUAUUUAUUAUUAUUUUAAUUUUUAUGGGUGGUUAGGUAACAUAUAAAAAAAAACAAAAUGAAAAGUUUCUCGUUAAAAACCGGAAGCUCCAUUUUGACCCACCCUAAUGUACAUAUAUCUUCAACAUAAUUUUAUUGUCUCGAAUAAUUUAUGAUAUAAAAAGUCGUCAAGAAUAAGGAAAAAAUGUAUAUACUAUUGAAAGUAAAAUUAACAGUUUUUUUAGAUGUUGCCUAGAAUUUGCGACAUUAAAUAAAUGUCCUUACUAUGUCCAAAAUACAAAGCCUUUUAUUAGAUUUUUUCACUUGGGAGUGGCCAGGAACGAUUCUUUCGCAUUUGCAGAGGUAAUAACAGAAAUGCCGAAAUGAGUGAUUAUAAAAAGCUUGAAAAGCUGGCCGACAUGGGUAACGCUCGAAAAUUUUAUGAAAAUAUCAGACUAUUUACAAAAGGUUUCUAGACCGGAGCAUUAUCAUAUAGGGACCGAGGAAGUAAUCUGGUAACGGAUGUCCAGAGCAUACUGGGAUUAUGAAGGGAACACUUCUCCGACCUGCUGAAUGGCAGUGAAAGUACAACACCAGGAGAUGGCAAACCUGAUUCCCCAAUCAAUGACGUUGGAAUAGAUGUUCCAUUACUCGACCAUGAAGAAAUUCGAAUAACAAUCCCCGCUUGAUGAACAACAAAGCGGCGGGGGCCGAUGGAUUGCCGGUCAAUCUCUUCAAAUAAGGCGGCGAAGGACUGUAUAAGAAAGCGAAGCGUAUGCGUAUGGCAUUAACAACAGCAACAAUGUCAGCCUCGAAAUCCAACGCAGAAUCACUCUUGCGAACAGGUGCUACUUUGAACUGUGUAGGCAAUCGUCCUUUCUCGGCGAACCAAAAUCAAACUCUACAAGUCGCUCAUUAUUCCCGUCCUGAUGUAUGGCGCUGAAGCGUGGACGAUGACAACAUCCGAUGAGAUGACUCUUGGGGUUUUCUAGAGAAAGGUUUUGCGCAAGAUUUAUAUUCCUCUAAACAUUGGCAACGGCGAAUACCGCAGACGAUGGAACGAUGAGCUGUAUGAUUUAUACGACGACAUUGAAAUGGUCCAGCCAAAAAAGGUCAUGUUGUACGAAUGGAUGAAAACACUCCAGCUCUGAAAGUGUUCGAUGCAAUACCUGCUGAAAGAAGCCGCGAAAGAGGACGACCUCCACUCCGAUGGAAAGACCAAGUGGAAAGUGAUCUGGUUUCACUUCAUACUAUUAGGCUUUUCACUAAAGGUUUGAAACAACGUUCUGUUGGAAAGGAUACCAAUAUUGACCUGAGCACGUAUCCAAAAUUUUAUCCGAAAUUAUUGCCUAAUAUUUUAGAAAAUAGUUUGUCUUAAGAGAAUUAAACUACAAAUGUCAGCAGUGGAUUUCAGAAAAGCAAAACUUAAUUUUGUGCAAAAAUUUUGAAAACGGUAAAACCAUUUGUGAACGAACAUCUUUUUUUACAGAGGAUGGGUUUACAGCAUAAUUGCGAUGAUUGUACGCUUGAAUUGUUAUUGCGUUUAUAAUCCUCUAGUUUUACAGCCUUUGAUUUAUAAAUUUGCGAUUAAAAAUUAAAAAAAAAAAAUUGUUUAAAAAAAUUGUUGUUAGAUUGUAUAGGAAAAUAAAUUUACGCAUUUAUGACUCUGGGCGCUAUGUAUUCUGUUCGUGAUUGAACUAAUUUCUGAUUACUUUUGAUUUUAUAUUUCAAUUUCUUUUGAUAUUUAUUUCAACGAAAUACUUAUCAGAGGUAAUUGUUGUUUUUAUUUUUAUUUCUUCUUGAAUGUCAUAGACACCGCUUACGCGGUUAUAGCCGAGUCCGCAACAACGCGUCACUCAUUCCUCUUUUUGGCAGUUUGGUGCCAAAUGGUGCUACCAAGUGAAGCCAGGUCCUUUUCCACCUGGCCUAUCCAACGGAGUGGAGGUCUCCCUCUUACUCGGCCUCCACCAGCGGUUACUGCAUUGAACAUUUUCAGAGCUGGCGCAUUUUCGUCAAAUCGAACAACAUGACCUGGCCGCUGGUUUUUAAUUCGCUGAAUUAUGUUAAUGUCGUCGUAGAAAUCGUACAGCUCAUUGUAACAACGUCUGCGGUAUUCGCCGUUGCCAAUGUUUAUGGGACCAUAAAUCUUCCUCAAAACCUUUCUCUCGAAAACUCCUAGAGCCGUCUCAUCGGAUGUUAACAUCUUCCACGCUUCUGCACCAUAAAGUAGGACGAGAAUGAUGAGGGGCCUUUCUUUUGAGCUUUCUUUUUGUUCGUCGAGAGAGGACUUUACCUUUCAAUUGCCUACUCAGUCCAAGUAGCACCUGUUGGCAAGAGUGAUUCCGUGUUGGAUUUCUAGACUGACAUUAUUAUUGGUGUUGAUGCUGGUUCCCAGGUAGACGAAAUUAUCUACAACCUAAAGCUUUAAUAUCAAAGAGACGUUCUGUGUCGAUCAUCUUUUUACGCGUCUUUUGCAAGAUUUGGCGUGGUCAGUUGUUUGUUGUCAGUUUGUUGACGGCGGGAUUUAGUCUUUCAACCUUGUAACCUUGUAAGCGAUAUUGAGGAGGCUUAUCCCACGGUAAUUGGCACAAAUUGUGGGAUCUCCCUUUUUGUGGAUUCGGCUAACUACACUUAGAUUCCAAUCGUGGGGCAUACUUUAAUUCGGCCAUAUUCUGCAAAGAAGCUGAUGAAUGCAUCUUAUCAGUUCUUCGGUGCCGUAUUUGAAUAGCUCGGCGGGCUUUGCAGUUUUUAAAGCGGAUAAUCGCCAUUCUAAUUUCUUCAUGGUCGAGCAAUGGAAUAUCUGAAUAUGGUCGUCGAUUGGGGAAUCGGGUUCGAAAUCUCCUGGAAUCUCCUAGAAGUGUUCCCUCGACAUACUCAUUAUAUUAGGGGCAUCAACCUCUGGAUCACCUCUGGGGGUCUUAGAGGAGUGUGCUCCGGUUUGAAACCUCUGUUAGUCGUCGGAUCUUUUCGUAGCAUUACCCCUGUCGGCCAGCUUGUCAAGCUCUUCGCACUCACGCAUUUAGGCCUCUUUUUUUGGUCUGCAAUUGCGUUUCGCUUCCCUUUUCAGCUCUCGGUAUAUAUCCCAUUCCGCUCGUGUUGCAGUCGAUCGCAACAUUGCGAGGUAUGCAGUCUGUUUUCUCUCCACUGCGAGAUGACAAUCCUCAUCAUACCAGCUGUUUUUGUUACUUUAGCUAAAAGUUUCGGUUACAGCUGUACGCAAGGAGCUUGAUAUGCCGUCGCACAUUUCCCUUAUACUGAGUUGCUGCUAAGUGAUCUCAGAGAGCAGGAGUGCAAGUUGAGUGCUUCUCAAUGUCGAACAUUCCUUGGGUUUGUUGACGUGUGCGCUUUGCUACAGAGGCGCGUGCGUAUCUUAACUGCUACAAGAUAAUGGUCCGAGUCAAUGUUAAGACCACGGAGCGUAUGUACAUCAAAAACAUUGUAGACAUGUCGUCCAUCUAUCACAACAUGAUAGAUCUGGUUGCGCGUGAUUCGAUCUGGGGACACCCAAGUAGCUUGAUGUAUUUUCUUAUACUGGAAACUAGUACUACAGACGACCAGGGAGGCUGAAUUCUCCGACUGUUGUGCCAAAGAUACCUUCUUUACCCAAUCGCCAAGCACGAUUCUGACAUCGUAGCGGGGCAGUGCUCAUAGGUACGUUCUAUACGCUCUUGGAAGGUAUCUUUGAUCACAUCGUCCUUCUCUUCCGGGGCGGGGGCGCAAAUAAACGACGAUGGAGUUGCUCUCCCUCCACAAAUCCCACACCGAAUUAGCGCUUCUUUAUAUGACCGCUGUAGUAGAUGUCACAAGUCCCGUCCAUCGCCUUUCUUGGAUGGCGAUGUCAACCUUUACUCUUACGAGGACAUCAACCAGGUGGGCAGAGGCACCUGCGUUUUAAGGGUCUGGACAUUCCAGGUGCAUACCCUUAAAUGACAUUGUGUCUCUUGGCUAUUCAGAGGAAACAAGGCCGGAAGUCGUGAGUUGCUUGAACCACAUGCAAAAGAAUCGUUUCUGGCCAAUCCCAAGUGAACGACAGUCGGAAACUUUCAUCACUUACGUGACCCCAUCCUAAUUUUUCAUUUACAUAUGACUUACAACUUUAUGACAACUUGUAAGUACCCUAAAUGGAAGUAUUUAAUAAAAUAAAAAUAUUCAAAACACAUACAUACAUAUGUAUCUGAAAGUUUUUCUUUAAACUUUAAGGGGAAAACACAAAAAUUCAAACCAACAACUAAUUUCAGUUGUAUUUAUGGAAACGGAUGCAGAUUUAGUACGGAAUUUCCCAAAAGACGAUACUCUACAAGACGGAGCUAACUCAUACACCACUACACAUGCAAAGUUUUUCAGCUUUUACCAACACAUACGCAAUAGUAACUUUUUGUUGUUAAAUGGCAAUCUCGGUAGUUAGAGUGGCAACAUUCAUUAACCCCAAUUUUUGCAUGUAUACAGAGAACGUAUAAUAUAGAGAAGGUUCAUGGUGUGCCGAUUGUCACACUAUAAGCGUGUUUCACCACAGUUUAACAUCAGAGGCCUCAAAAAUAACAGAUUUGAGAGUUUUCAGUGCUAAAUGAGAAAAGUGGUGUUAAUUUCUAUGUUAGGAAAUGUACGCUUACAUAUUUGCCUAUAUACAAUGCGCGUGUGACUUUUUUGCAUAUAAUUUAUAGAUAUUUUGUUUAUAAUUGAUAUGAAGGCACAUGCGCACACACAUAUGUAAUUCUUUACAAUAUACAAUAAACUAAAUUACUUUAUAUUAUUAUGUAAAUUUAACAUAAUAAUACUACAUUUAUUUGCUUUAGUCAUUAAAAUGUCACAUAAUAUCAUAAAUAUGUACAUAUAUUAUCACAAAAUGAUAAACGUACGCGCAUUCGUAAUUACAUAUGUGCACAUGUAAACAAAUAUCAAAAAACCAUUCGAAUUGUAUAUAUAUGUCAAUUUGUCAACAUUCAAUAUAUUUAUGUAAAUAUGUGUACUCAUGGCUUCAUAUAAGAUUUUCGUUGCCACGGACAACGAAUGGCUGUAGCUUAUGAUUUUUUUGUGUUUAUGUCAAAUAGUUGUAAGAAAUGUGGAGCGUAUACAGGCAGAAAGGCCCAGAUGCCCAACAUAUAACGAUUUAAGUUUUAUGCCUUGUUUCUUAAAAAUAGCAAUAGUAAUUAUUCUAAACAUGAUUUAAUAUGUUGGUAGAUAUUAAAAUGGAUUUAAUUAUAUAGAUAAACAAUUAAUACUUCAAUAUUUGACAAUACAUAUGAAGCGCAAAUAUUAUUACGACGGGAUCACUUGAAACGGCCCUGUAAAGUUCGAUGUGUCGAAAAAUUGAUGGCCGCCUGCGCAAUGCCAAAGUGACGCAACAUUGCGUUUACAUACGUAAAUGCUUAUGUAUAUAGAUAUACAUAUGUAUGUAUAUGCAAGUUUAAGUUAUGAAAUACGUGGUUUAUUUUAGUAUUAUACGAAAUGUAUUUAAUAUAAAAAUAUAAACAUGUACAAGUAUGUACAUUAGGGUGGCCCUUAGUUGUAUGGAGGAUAAAAAAAGUUUCUGGAUUCUCGAUCGCACCCCCUAGAAAUAUGCGAAUAGCCCAAAAACUAGUAUAUACAAAGUUUUGGGUCAAUCAAAAAAGGUUUAGAGGUUGCGCAAGGAGCUUGAAUUCCUCAAAAAAAUAAGAAUUUUUGCCAUUUUUAUGUCUCAGACUUCCAUAUUUCAAAGUCACACUAUCCCUUACUGGUUUUCCAUACCGUAAUAAGAUAAUCAGAAUAACAUUAGAACCGUUAUAACGGUAUAUCACGAGCAUGCGACGCUUGAGAAUGCACCACAUUAAAUGUACUUUCAUAUUUGUAUUUCUGUAACUCUAUCAUCAAUCGACCGAUUUUUAAGAUUGUGGUAAUUUUGGAAAGGUAAUAAAAUGCAGAUCUUAUUACGGUUGGAAACCAGAUAGUGUGGCUUUGAAAUAUGGAAGUCUGAGACAUAAAAAUGGCAAAAAUUCUUAUUUUUUUGAGGAAUUCAAGCUCCUUGCGCAACCUCUAAACCUUUUUUGAUUGACCCAAAACUUUGUAUAUACUAGUUUUUGGGCUAUUCGCAUAUUUCUAGGGGGUGCGAUCGAGAAUCGGAAUACUUUGGAAAAUAAGGGCCACCUUAAUGUACAUACAUAUGUAUGUAUAUUAUUAUAAAACACAUACUUUUUUUAUAUAUGCCUCUGAAAUCGCAUAAUUCAUUUGAAAUGUUUUCAAUUGUGGAUGCAUUCAUAAAUAUCCGCAAAACGAAUUUAACAUCAAUUGUAUAUAGAAGGCAUAUAAAUGCAUCAACAUAUAAACACAACGCCUAACAUGCGUCUAUAAUAGAAAUGUUAACUUCUGAGCAUAUUUUUCAAUUAAUACUCAGCUCUGUUGCGAGGCACUGUCAAUAUUUUUCCUUCCCAGCCGGCCGUGUUGAAACACGCUUAUAGAAUCUUGAUAGGUUUUGACAAUUCACACGCUUCUCCGCAAAUGAACCUUCUCUAUAUUUAACGUUCUCUGAUGUAUAAGAGAGAGAUGCACGUACUACAAUGAACCGAUCAAAAUCUCCGCCAUGGCCGCCAUUCAUAUGAAAUUAAAAUUUUGAGUGAGCGGAUUACUAUGGUUGACUGGGUGCUGCAGAUUAUUUUGAGGAAAUAACAGCAGAAAAUGGUCUCGGAAGACAAAGCGAGCUGCAACGCACAUCUGGUGCGUACAUGCAAAACUAAAAAGAGAAGCAGAAAAAGGAUUAUGCCACUUUAGGCAGAUGGGAGAGUCGAAGUUGUUCAUUUUUCUUCUGAUUUGAUUAUGGAGGCGUUAUUAGGCUGAACUUACAAUUGAUCAUUUUCAAUAUUGUGAUUGUUCAUUUGAACGUAAAAAUAGCACUCAAUUUAUUAAUAUAAAUGUAAAAUAUUGUUAAAUUAGUAUCUAUCGUAAUAGUAAUGAAAUGUAAUAUGUAUUGUAUAACAACACAAAAAUCAAUAAUUAAUUUUUUUGAAUUAAAAUUUUUAAAUUAUAAAAAAUUAAUAAUUAAUACUAAAUUUAUAUGUAAAAUAUGUAAAUUUUGUCAAUGUAUAUGCUAAUAUUUAAAAAUUAAUAUAUACUAAUUAUUAAAAUUGUAAAAUACCAUACUAAUUUUUUAAUGUAAAUACCUCAUACAAUUAAAUAAAUAAAAAUAAAAAUAAAACAAUUUCAAUUUUUCAUUUUUAAACAGAAAAGUAGGUGAUCUAUAGAAUGAAGGACAAUGGAGACCAAUGAACCAAAUUUAAGUAACGAAACGGUGACCCAACAAAUGACCAAUACCUGUGAUUAAAGGGUUACCCUGAAAAUGAUAAAUCGAACAGUCUCCACUGAUAGAUGGCUGAUUAAAUCAAACAAUGGAAAAAUUAGAGCAGAAAGACAUAUGCAAGAUUUGCACCAAAAUCAAUGAGAGGGAGCGAGCAAGAUAAUCACACCGACAGCCGUAAAAGAGGAGAAAUGGUAACUUUUUUCCUGCUGCUAGAACAAGAGAGACCAAAAAAAUAAUACAAGCUUUCUUUACUGGUAACCAAUAUUCCAUAAGAUAAGUAACUCUACUCGUCUUGCAGGGUAGAGUGGCUAUUAAGGCAUUGUUUCUUUUUAAAAUCGCUAUGGUUUACCUUGCCGAAUAUGAAACAGUAAAACGGUAACUAUUCCGAACACGGCUCUAAACGAUUUGCUAAUUUUUCGAAAAAAAGCAAAAACAGAACUAUUUACAAAACAUGCCAAACGAUUUGAAAACGGAAAAUGUGAAAAUAUUACCCGAAUUAUAGAUACACAAAAGCGAUGUAUUUUCAAAGGAAAUAUGUAUAUCGGCCAAGGUUAGGUUAGGUUAGGUAGAGUGGCUGCCAAACGGCGCACCUAGGCCUUUGGGAGGCCCAUUGUGAUACCACUGGGACUGAGAUUCCUCACAGUAUCGAGUCAUCAUUAAACCACCCUGUGGUCCUAAUGAAGUGAAAAAGUUCACACAGUUUGACAUUAGCUACUUCGCCCACAUCCUCGAGAAAACCGCGUCCAAUGGUUGCGAUUCUUUUUCUGUACAGAGCCUUGCAUCCACAGAGAAGGUGUGUAAUCGUUUCUUCUUCUUCUUCUUCUUGGCAGCUCCUGCAGUAAUCAUUGAAAGGUAGGCCUAGUCUGCUGGCGUGUCUCCCAAUCAGACAGUGUCCCUUUUGCACCCCUACAAGGAUUCUUGUUUCAUUCCUCUUAAAUUUCAAUAAGCGGCAAGUACUGGCUCUUAUUCCACUCUGGCCACGUUUGUCUACUUACGGAGCAAGUCGUUACUUGUUUCCAUUGUGAUUCAGCCGUAUCUACUGCAUGUUUAUCGAUUAAGUAUUUGCAGGUUGCCAGAGGUAUAUAGAUUGCCUCUUUAUCGGCCUCCAACUGCAGUGUGGUGCCUAGUUUGGCUAGUUCAUUUGCUACACAGUUCCCAGGGAUGUCACUAUGUCCUGGGACCCAUUGUAGGUCUAUCGUGAAAUAUGACGUCAUUGUCAAUAAUAAAUCCAAGCAUUCUUUCACUAUCUUGAAGAUAUUCUAUGAGACUUUAAUGAUUUUAAAGCCGCUUGACUAUCCGAGAAUAUGAAUAUCUGUCUGGCCGCUAAUACUCUUUUUGACAGAACGAGAAGGCUUUCUUUAAUUGCGGUGAAUUCUGCUUGGAACACACUGCAAUGAUCCGGUAGUCGGAAGGCGAUUCUGGUAUCUAGUUUUUCCGAGAAUACCCCACCUCCAACUCGUUUGUCUAGUUUUGACCCGUCCGUGUAGAUACUUAUCGCUGAAUCUUUGUCUACUUUUCCCAUAUCCCACUCCUCUCUAGAGAAGAAUGAUAUAUGUAGUUCAGAUUUUAGAUUCAUUGCAAUAGGAUUGCGAAAGUUCGUCCUAUUUGGUAGAAAUGGGAACUUGCCGAGUAUACUAGAAUGUCCUCUGUUGCAGGUUUGCAGUAGUGAAGAUUAUCUCAGUCUAAGUGCCGAUUUCGCCGCCUGUUGCUUACAGAAUAUGUCAGUAAGUGCAGAAUAGCCUUUAACGCCUGGCUCGGCGUUGUUCUGAGAGCUCGGCCAAACAAUGCCAAGAAUUUUUCGAGGUGACAUUCGCAUGAAAUUCUACUGUCGUUCAAUUGGUCAUCUUGGCUCAACAAUUACAAGCGGUUAAGCCACCCUAAAUAUUUUUUAGGAAAUUUUUUUGUCAAAACUAUGUGAGGUAGAACUUCUUUACAUUUAUAGCUAAUAUAAUGCAUAUCUUAAACUUAAUACAUAUUAAAAAAAAUGUUUAAAUUAAAGAUUGCAGAUAUAUAAGCAUUAGUGUGGAUAAAUUUUUCCGAAGCACUCCUUGAUGGUGUUCAU